This is a long non-coding RNA of Fukomys damarensis (Damara mole-rat), 656 nucleotides long. RefSeq lists it as uncharacterized. The transcript has 4 exons. NCBI's taxonomy places the organism in Eukaryota, Metazoa, Chordata, Mammalia, Rodentia, Bathyergidae. The record is from RefSeq and is a predicted model, not a curated record.
AGCACUGUGUGGAGGCCCUGGAUUCCAUUCCAGCACCACAAAACAAAAUAGAGUGUUGGAGAAAUUCUUCCCUUUGUCUACUACUUUGAUAAAAAACUGAAUCUUUGAAGCCCAGUUUUGUCAGGUUCAGUAUAAAAUUAUUUAUUCUUAUAUCUAUUGUCUUUUGAUAGUAAGUGCCUAUUCUUCUUUCCCUUUUCCCCUCUCAAUUUGUUUAUUCAAGUUAGGAAUCUUUUUAAACAAACUCUCCUGGGCCUCUAGGUGCCAGUUUUCUUUGCCAGGAUAUCCCUCAUGAUCUUCUGUCUGAUGCUGCUAUCUCCCCAGUGUCACCUUUGGGAAUUGUUGAGAUCUCAGAAAAUCUCUGAGAGGUAGAGAAGGCUCUAGGAAGUAAGAUGACUCCAGACUUGGAAGUUGUACUGCCAAGAAAAUUUCGAGGCUUCUUUGGGGCAACACCAGACCGGAAAACUGACCCUAAACCUUGCAAGGAGGGAAGGGGACUAGCCAUCCAGUGAAGAGCCUGCUGUGUGGGGUGUGUAGGACUCCUUUCACUCCCACACAGAUGCUGUGAGGUAGACUUUAUUUUUCCCAUUUGCUGAUGAAAACUUGAAGCUCAGGAAGAUCAUAAAGAAGCUCACUAAGUUGCCCAGGCUGAUCUUGAA